UGGCUGUCGUCACCUCGUGUCGAGAAAUGUGGGGUAAACUCCCGCAACGAGCGCAACCCUUUUCCUUUUUUCCCAUCAUUUAGUUGGGCACUCUAAGGAGACUGCCGGUGACAAACCGGAGGAAGGUGGGGAUGACGUCAAGUCAUCAUGGCCCUUAUGGGUAGGGCUACACACGUCAUACAAUGGUCGGUACAAAGGGUUGCCAACCCGCGAGGGGGAGCCAAUCCCAAUAAACCCGAUCGUAGUCCGGAUUGGAGUCUGCAACUCGACUCCGUGAAGUCGGAAUCGCUAGUAAUCGCGGAUCAG
RNAcentral lists this ribosomal RNA (306 nucleotides) under uncultured bacterium. Its description in RNAcentral is "bacterial SSU rRNA". It matches the Rfam family "Bacterial small subunit ribosomal RNA", at positions 1046 to 1352 of the family's 1533-position model. The record is from RNAcentral.